AUAACAGGCUACUCCGUAAAGGUUACUUGAACACAAGCACUACGAUAAUGUCACAACUGACCUGCUAACAGAGACUGCUAGCAAAUGACCACUGGGCGGAUAACACAUACAGUACUGAUACACGGAGCAGUGAGAUAUCCCAUGCUUCUGGCAGGACUCAGCAAGAUAGGAAAUGUCUGGAAUGACAGUAACUUGUUUGGGCUGCCAUCAUGAAGCUAGACUUCAUUUAUCAUUAACUUUAUUUUUGGGCUGCAAUCCCUAAUUCUACUGAGAUAUAGAAGAGACACAGGAGGCAGAAGCCACAGAGAAAAAACACCAAAAGGCUUCAAGUACACUGUGAUCGUCUAUUCAAGUCUUUCUCUGUUGAUAAAGUUUUCCAAAAUCAUAAUAGAAGAAUCUCAAAAUAGUGACAAAACAGUAACCUUCUUUGUUGAUUAGCUAACCUGGCUUCUGCGGAGAUUAGAUUCUGGGCUGUGUGUCUGAAACAUUGUCUACUAUCCUGGCCUUGUAUUCUUAUCAAUAACAAAAA
Long non-coding RNA from Chinchilla lanigera (long-tailed chinchilla), 529 nucleotides. RefSeq lists it as uncharacterized. The transcript has 3 exons. The record is from RefSeq and is a predicted model, not a curated record. Lineage: Eukaryota; Metazoa; Chordata; Mammalia; Rodentia; Chinchillidae.